Molecule: long non-coding RNA, 219 nt
Filed under: Physcomitrium patens
Lineage: Eukaryota; Viridiplantae; Streptophyta; Bryopsida; Funariales; Funariaceae
Description: long non-coding RNA (PPAT_LNC014904)
Source: RNAcentral
ACAACCCAAUCUGCUAAUCUCCGAUACCGCUUUGUACUUACGAUCUUGUAUCCACUGAUUGUCUUGUUAGAUUAACCCAAUAAAUUUCAUUUACUCCGCAUACUCAAUCCUAUAGACACCCUUUUAAUUCUUCAAUCACAGACGUAACUCGAUUUCACAAAACAGUCAAGAGUAAUCAAACCCACUUCAUUAAAAAAUCCUGAUUCACCAUUACAACAC